ACCCUUGUCAGCUAGUUGCAUUUCAAGCUUUGGACCUAUGAUUUUGUCUUCCACAAAUUUUCUAAUAGAGAGUUGACAACAGAUAAAGAACUUAGUCCAACUGUGUUGAGUAUGAUUUUUGGACAUUGCUGCAGUAUUCAGGUUGUCAUAAUACAAUGUCUUGACAUCGUGUGUGACAUUGUAUGCAAUUAUCAGUAGUUUCGUCCAAUCUAGUUGAGAACAGCUGCUUCCAUCUGACAUAUUUUCAUCAUAAACACCAUUUUCA
Molecule: long non-coding RNA, 265 nt
Filed under: Lathyrus oleraceus (garden pea)
Lineage: Eukaryota; Viridiplantae; Streptophyta; Magnoliopsida; Fabales; Fabaceae
Description: Pisum sativum (pea) long non-coding RNA (PSAT_LNC023635)
Source: RNAcentral